RNAcentral lists this non-coding RNA (24 nucleotides) under Arabidopsis thaliana (thale cress). Lineage: Eukaryota; Viridiplantae; Streptophyta; Magnoliopsida; Brassicales; Brassicaceae. The record is from RNAcentral.
ACAUGGUACUUCGCUCUUGGUCCU